AAAAGUUAAGGGCCCCGGGGGCCGUCUAAAAACCCGUAGCCAGAAAGGCGUCCCCCCGCCUGGGGGUGGGGCGCCGGAACGGUGAACUCCUUGUGAAAACCUUUGUUGCUUCGGCAGCGCCUCCCGGCCUCACGGCGGGGAGGGUCAGCCUGCCGGCGGCACAAAACCUAAAACCCUUCAUGCAAAGUAGAUUUUAAAACGUCUGAGAGCGCAGUCGAAUGACACUUA
This 228-nucleotide unclassified non-coding RNA is filed under the name uncultured Orbiliales. RNAcentral describes it as "sequence contains ITS1". The record is from RNAcentral. Lineage: Eukaryota; Fungi; Ascomycota; Orbiliomycetes; Orbiliales.